Molecule: non-coding RNA, 663 nt
Organism: Bubalus bubalis (water buffalo)
Lineage: Eukaryota; Metazoa; Chordata; Mammalia; Artiodactyla; Bovidae
Source: the annotation of a RefSeq genome assembly
UUGAGGCAAAACUGAGCACAAUUGUGCAGGGGAAUCCAUGCCUCAUGCCGCUCUCCAGCCUGCUCUGGGUGUUCCUGGCCUUCACCUUCUCUGGAUCCAGUGUAGCCCAGAAAGUUAUUCAAGACCAGCCAGACACAUCCAGUCCAGUUGGGGAGUCAGUUACCCUGAAAUGUCGGUAUGAAACAAGUCAGAGCAGUUAUAGCAUUUUUUGGUACAAGCAGCUUCCCAGUGGAGAGAUGAUUUUCCUUACAAGGGAUGGCCGCUACUCUAUAAAUGUUGAGAGAUCACGUAAAUCAUCCAGCCUCACCAUUUCAACUUUACAAUUGGAAGAUUCUGCAAAGUACUUCUGUGCUCUCUGGGAACUCACAGUGCUUGAAGUAAUAGGAAAAGCUGAACAAAAACCCCCAAGCUUAAUAAGAGAAAGCCUCUCUGCUGUAGGACCCUAGCUGAAAUACACACCUGCAGAUCCCAGACAAUAAAUGGUAAUCCUGUGGUUGCUUCAUCUGUGGUCUGGAUCAGAAGAUUUAAUUAUAAAUAAAAGCUCCUUCCGUGUCAUAUGGAAGCAGGUGUCCAGAGUAACUUUCUCCUGGUACAUUCUCCUCUUGAAUUUUUGACUUUAAAUCAACCAUACAGAACAUGUGUAAAGUUGUCUAAAUUUGAAAA